CCAUAAAUAAAUCAAAACUUUCAACAACGGAUCUCUUGGUUCUGGCAUCGAUGAAGAACGCAGCAAAAUGCGAUAAGUAAUGUGAAUUGCAGAAUUCAGUGAAUCAUCGAAUCUUUGAACGCACAUUGCGCCCGCCAGUAUUCUGGCGGGCAUGCCUGUUCGAGCGUCAUUUCAACCCUCAAGCCCCCGGGUUUGGUGUUGGGGAUCGGCGAGCCCUCGCGGCAAGCCGGCCCCGAAAUCUAGUGGCGGUCUCGCUGCAGCUUCCAUUGCGUAGUAGUAAAACCCUCGCAACUGGUACGCGGCGCGGCCAAGCCGUUAAACCCCCAACUUCUGAAUGUUGACCUCGGAUCAGGUAGGAAUACCCGCUGAACUUAAGCAUAUCAAUAAGCC
This 390-nucleotide ribosomal RNA is filed under the name Nectriaceae sp. nc_besc_319controlb. Its description in RNAcentral is "eukaryotic LSU rRNA". The stretch from base 16 to 169 matches the Rfam family "5.8S ribosomal RNA". The record is from RNAcentral. Lineage: Eukaryota; Fungi; Ascomycota; Sordariomycetes; Hypocreales; Nectriaceae.